AUGGCUGUCGUCAGCUCGUGUCGUGAGAUGUUGGGUUAAGUCCCGCAACGAGCGCAACCCUUGCCAUUAAUUGCCAUCAUUUAGUUGGGCACUUUAAUGGGACUGCCGGUGACAAACCGGAGGAAGGUGGGGAUGACGUCAAGUCCUCAUGGCCCUUAUGGCCAGGGCUUCACACGUAAUACAAUGGUCGGUACAGAGGGACGCCAACCCGCGAGGGGGAGCCAAUCCCAGAAAGCCGAUCGUAGUCCGGAUUGUUGUCUGCAACUCGACAGCAUGAAGUCGGAAUCGCUAGUAAUCGCGGAUCAGAAUGUCGCGGUGAAUACGUUCCCGGGCCUUGUACACACCGCCCGUCACACCAUGGGAGUGGGUUUUACCAGAAGUAGUUAGUCUGACCGCAAGGGGGACGAUUACCACGGUAGGAUUCAUGACUGGGGUGAAGUCGUAACAAGGUAGCCGUAGCGGAAGCUGCGGCUGGAUCACCUCCUUUCUAGAGAUCACCUCUCUAUGAGCAUUCACUCUUAUCAGUUGUUGGUUAGCACAAAGAAUAAUUGGCCCUUUCAGGGUCUGUAGCUCAGCUGGUUAGAGCACCGUGUUGAUAACGCGGGGGUCGUUGGUUCGAGCCCAACCAGACCCACCAAACAUAACCUGUUUAGUUCCUAGGGGGAUUAGCUCAGCUGGGAGAGCACCUGCUUUGCAAGCAGGGGGUCGUCGGUUCGAUCCCGUCAUCCUCCACCAAUUCUUUGAAUAUAGAAGUAAGCCUCAAAUGUUGUUUUUUCAAUAUUUGAGACUGGCUUUUAUUAGCUAGUAUGUUCUUUAACAAUUUGGAAGAAGUAAAACGAAAUCAUAAGAUUGUGAUGAGAUUAUGAUUUCAUGGGUAGUGAUUGUAAUAUCAAAACUAAAUCAACAAAAAGACUAAGAAGUUUUAGUAUUUAUAGUUGUUUUAAGCAAAGCUUUAGAAGAAACUAUAACGAUUGUCUCAUGCAAGAAAACCGAGUUUAAAAGGGCUUAGGUUUUAAAGUUAUAGGAUCAAGUGAAUAAGUGCAUAUGGUGAAUGCCUUGGCGAUUACAGGCGAUGAAGGACGUGGUAGUCUGCGAAAUUUUUCGGGGAGCUGACAAACAAGCUUUGAUCCGGAAGUGUCCGAAUGGGGAAACCCGG
This 1156-nucleotide small RNA is filed under the name uncultured bacterium. Its description in RNAcentral is "bacterial SSU rRNA". The stretch from base 1 to 487 matches the Rfam family "Bacterial small subunit ribosomal RNA", at positions 1045 to 1533 of the family's 1533-position model. The record is from RNAcentral.